This 354-nucleotide ribosomal RNA is filed under the name Ornebius flori. Its description in RNAcentral is "partial 12S ribosomal RNA". Lineage: Eukaryota; Metazoa; Arthropoda; Insecta; Orthoptera; Mogoplistidae. The record is from RNAcentral.
AAUGAAUGUAAAUAUGAUAUAUAGGUAUUAGUAGUUAUGAUCUUUAAACUUAAAGAAUUUGGCGGUGUUUUAUUCUAUUCAGAGGAAUCUGUUUUGUAAUUGAUAGUACACGAUUUGGAAUACUUAAUUUGAUUUUGUAUAUCGCCGUCAUUAGAUUAUUUUGAUUAAAAGUUAGGAAUUUUCGAAAUAUUAGUUUGGUAAUAUGUCAGGUCAAGGUGCAGUUUAAUUAAGAAGUUAAAUGGAUUACAAUAAAAAUUUAUUUAAAUGACGGAUUUGUUUAGGGUUAAAAGAAUGAAGGUGGAUUUGAAAGUAAAUUGGUUGAUAAUGAGUAAUUGAAGAAGCUCUAAAAUGUGU